RNAcentral lists this ribosomal RNA (492 nucleotides) under uncultured bacterium. Its description in RNAcentral is "partial 16S ribosomal RNA". It matches the Rfam family "Bacterial small subunit ribosomal RNA", at positions 29 to 507 of the family's 1533-position model. The record is from RNAcentral.
AGCGAACGCUGGCGGUAGGCCUAACACAUGCAAGUCGAACGGCAGCACAGUAAGAGCUUGCUCUUACGGGCGGCGAGUGGCGGACGGGUGAGGUAUACAUCGGAAUCUACUUUUUCGUGGGGGCUAACGCAGGGAAACUUACGCUAAUACCGCAUACGACCUACGGGUGAAAGCAGGGGAUCUUCGGACCUUGCGCGAUUGAAUGAGCCGAUGUCGGAUUAGCUAGUUGGCGGGGCAAAGGCCCACCAAGGCGACGAUCCGUAGCUGGUCUGAAAGGAUGGUCAGCCACACUGGAACUGAGGCACGGUCCAGACUCCUGCGGGAGGCAGCGGUGGGGAAUAUUGGGCAAUGGGCGCAAGCCGGAUCCAGCCAUACCGCGUGGGUGAAGAAGGCCUUCGGGUGGUAAAGCCCUUUUGUUGGGAGAGAAGAGCAGCAGGUUAAUACGCCGCUGUUCUGACGGUACCCGGAGAAUAAGCACCGGCUAACUUCGUG